RNAcentral lists this long non-coding RNA (31786 nucleotides) under Capsicum annuum. RNAcentral's name for it is "long non-coding RNA (CANN_LNC009529)". The record is from RNAcentral. Lineage: Eukaryota; Viridiplantae; Streptophyta; Magnoliopsida; Solanales; Solanaceae.
CAAUCAAACAAACAAACAAGUUCAAAAAUAUAAUGUCCCGUCCAAAUUAAACAGUCCCAAAAAUAGAAAAAUGCGGAAAAGUAAAUCCUAUUCUAAACUAAUCCUAGACUAAGCUCCAAUGCUUUACCCGAUGCCUCGGGCCUUCAUCACAAACCUCCUUUGCGUACAUGAGAUGUCGGGGCAUUCCUUGGUGAAUAAAUACAAUGUGACCUCAGGACAUUCCCCGGCGAAUGAAUACAUUUGAUGAAAUGUAAUAAAAGUAGAUGCCUCAUUCAACACAGACAUUCACACAUUCAAUGAUAUAGAAUACUAUGAGUUGACUACCCCAAAACCUAAAAUUUGGCUAUCAUGCUUUCGUCCUAAAACAUGAUCCUACUGAGCUCACAAAAUUGAUAUUUAUUUCGCAUUAAACAAAACAAUAAUAAAUCAAAAUUAAUCCAAAUUCACUUUUUCAUCAAGUUUUUGAUUUCCACCCCGAUUUUGUUAUCCAAUUACCAAUUUCAAUUAUCCAAUAAAAUAUUAUUUUCAUCUAUUGUACCAUUCAAGAUCAAUCAUUCAACUCAAACUCAUGUCAAGCAACAAAUCACCCCUAAAUAGAACAAACACAUCAAAAUACCUCCAUAAUCAUAUAAAAUUAAAGGAAUAGAGUUGAAGAUUGGACCUCAAUUUGAUGAUUUAUUUUCAAUUAAAUAUGGAGGAGCCUUUCAGAUUCAGAACCUUGAAUCAAACCUCAACAGUCAACAAACGAGACCGCAACUCGAAGAAAACACAAAACCAAUAAGAAACUUCCAAACGAAACCCAAUUUGCUGAUUUCAAACUAGGCUUAAAUGGCUUGUUGGAAUCAGGGCCGGAUUAUCGUUUCCAUCAUAUCAGAGCUGCGGCGGACCAGACAGUCCAUGAAAUAGGUCUUUCGCUGGAGAAAGACCGCAAAAAAGGGAAUAGCAAUUUUUGGGGUUGUGAAUGACCCAUUUCCGUAAGGGUAUUCCGAUUCUGGAAAAACAAACUUACCAGAAAAUAGUUGAAUCUGCCUAUUUUUUGUCACCCAAACCACUCACCUUUCUCUCUCUUAGUCUAUAUCUUCCUUCGGCUUCUCUGUAUGUGCGUAUGUGCGAUGGCAGUGUGUGUACGAGUUUGUUCGUGGAUGAAUCUGUGAGGAUGAGUGAUUCCCAUUGGAGAUGAGUUUAUGAGUGUGUGUAUUUAUGUGUGUGAAUUGAGUGUGUUUUGUGAAUUCUCGAUGGAGGAUGUUGUAUGAGUGCAUGUGUGUGAUGAAUUGUGAAGGGAAUCUGUGUUGUUGUUAUCUGAGUGAGUCUCGAUGGUGGUGAUAGAGUUUACAUUUUAAUGGUGUGUGUAUAUGUAUAUAAUACGUGUGAAUUCCGUUUAAUGGGAAAGAAAAUUUGCCUUUGAUUGAGGGGCGAGGUAGGGGUAUGUGGGUAAGAGGUGGGGUAUGUGGGUAUUGGGUAGGGGUAGGUUGUUAUUUUUAUUAGCGUGAGGUAUUAAUUUGUUAUGGAUUUAUUGGAAUUUUAUUAUUUUUGUAUUUUUUGGGGGGUAUAAUCAUAUGGGUGAUACGGUGAGGAAAAAAUGAAUAAAUUGAACUUCGGGAGGGAUAAAAUUAUGUGUCUACAUCAUGACGCUUUUUGGGUGUAAACACAAAGUGUUUUCAGAAAAAAAAAAAAGACAACGAGACCAAAUUUUGACCGGACCAUUAUUCGAAGAAAGAAAUAGUAGGAAGGAGGACAACCGAGUAGGAGGGUCGAGUGAAUACUUGUCGAGGUUUCGGUCCGCGACUCUGUCAUUACAUCAAAAAUAAAAGUUACAAGUUAAAAGAUAACUAAAAUUACAAAAUUCCUAUCUAUGCAGCUACUUUUCGACUCUUGACUUGAGUUUCAGCACCCUGAUCUCCGGGUGGGCUCCCGACUUGUAAUUUCAUCACUUUAUUCUCCAGGCGGGCUCCUAACUUGCAAUUUCUUUAACUUGUUGCUUGACUUUCAAUUCCUUCACCCUGUUCUCUAGGCAGGAUCCUGACUUGGUAUUUUUCAAUCUGUUGACUUUCAAUUUCUUCACCCUGUUAUCCAGGCGGGCUCCCGACUUGCUAUUUUUCAAUCUGUUAACUUUCAAUUUCUUCAUCUUGUUGCUUGUUUUUCAACUUGUUGGCCUUGUUGUUUGACUUUCAACUUCUUCACUUUGUUGCUUGACUUUCAACUUAUUCGCCCUGUUCUUCAGGCAGGCUCCUGAAAUCUUAUCAAAACUAAAAAGAAAAUUAUUCCAAACAAAGAUUAUUAUAAUGAGAGAUUCCAUUUACCGGAAAAGUAAAGUUCCAAACAACAGGAGUUAGAUUUGUUGCCCCAGUUUAUCAUAAGAGGACUUUUGUGAAUGUCGAAUCCAAUUAUAAUUAUUUGUAUGUUGCAAUGAUGAAUCAAGACUCUGACCAAGAAAUGCAUCUCUAGAGAGUAAAAUUAAAUGACCAAGACUAGGAAGUGUGUCUCCUAAGAAUUAAAGUGAGGAAUUCCGACUAGAAAGUGUGUAUUCUAGAGCUAAAGGUUCAAAUUAGGAAGUGUGCCACCUGAUAAAUAAAAACUGACAAGGAAGUGCAUCCCCUAGGGGUUAAGUGCAAUGAUUCGACUAGAAAGUACAUCUUCUAGGAAUCAAGGGGACUGACUCGACUAGGAAGGACACCUUUUAGGAAUCAAGGGGACUGACUCAACUAGGAAGCACACUUUCUAGGAAUCAAGGGGAAUGACUCGACCAGGAAGUAUUUCUUCUAGGAAUCAAGGGGACUGACUCGACCAGGAAGUACAUCUUCUAGGAAUCAAGAGGGAUGACUCGACCAGGAAGUACAUCUUCUAGGAAUCAAGGGGAAUGACUCAACCAGGAAGUACAUCUUCUAGGAAUCAGGGGGACUGACUCGACUAGGAAGUUCAUCUUCUAGGAAUCAAGGGGACUGACUCAAUCAGGAAGUAAAUCUUAUGGGAAUCAAGGGUACUGACUCGACGAGGAAUCACAUCUUCUAGGAAUCAAGGGAAGUGACUCGACUAGGAAGUACAUAUUCUAGGAGUCAAGACUUAAUUUAGGAAGUGCAUCACCUAACAAGUAAAAUUCGAAUUACCCAAUCAAGGAAGUGCAUCUCCUUACCAAUGGCGCUUGAAUUGCCGAAACAAAGAAGUGCGUCUACUUACCAAUGUCGCUUGAAUUUUCCAAACAAGGAAGUGCGUCUCCUUAUAAAUGCCACUUGAAUUACCCAAACAGGGAAGUGCGUCUCCCCACAAAUGCCACUUGAAUUACCCAAAGAAAUGCGUCUCCUUACAAAUGUCGUUUGAAUUAACCAAACAAGGAAGUGCGUCUCCUUACAAAUGACGCUUAAAUUAUCCAGACAAGGAAAUGUGUCUCCUAACAAAUGCCACUUGAAUUUCCCAAGGAAAUACGUCUUUUUACAAAUGUCACUUAAUCUACCCAUACAAGCACUACUAAAAAAUGUCAAAAAGCGACGGCCAGCGUCGCUUUUUUGGGCAAAAACGAUGGAAAUUCAUCGUUUUUUCGGUCUUAAAAAGGGGUGUCAUUUUUUGAAAACGAUGGCCUGAGUCGCUUUUACGAAUUUUUUUUAAAUUAUUUUUUUAAAAAGCAACGUUGUGCGUCACUUUUUCUUCUUUAUGUGAAGAACUCAUGAUGAACCAAAAAUGAUGGACAUCGUCGUUUUAUUAAAAAAUAAUUUUUUUUCAAAAAAAUUAACACUGUCUGUCAUAAUUUGAGAAAAAUAAAAUAUAUUUUUUAAAAAGGCGACGUUGGUCAUCGAUUUUUGUUCUUCAUUAUGAAUAAAAAGUGACGUUGGUCGUCCCUUUUUGUUCUUCAUAAUGAAUAAAAAGCAAUGUUGGUCGUGGCAUUUUGUUCUUCAUAAUGAAUAAAAAGCGACGUUGGUCGUCACUUUUUGUUCUUCAUAAUGAAUAAAAAAGCGACGACCGUCGUCGAUUUUUUGUAAAUUUUUUAUGCAGAAAUCUGCAUUUUCUGCAUCCCACCUGUCAAAUAAAAAUGCAAUUCAAUAUAUACAUCCCUCAUGCAACACACAUCAUUACAAUAUUCAUACAACAAACUACAUCAACAAAUCAUUUAACCAAUUCAAAUCAACAACACUUAAACAAAUUUCAAUGCUCUAAUUCACUUCUCAAAUGACUUAACUUAACCAUUUUCAAGUUAUGAAUUCACAUUUCACGUAUCAACACUAAACCAAUUUCAAGUCAUGAAUUCACAUUUGCAAGUGAUUACACUUCAAAAAUUUAAAAACACAAGUUCACCAUGCAAGAACUACAUUAAUCCAUUUUCAAGUCGCUAAUCCACUUUUCAAGUGACUAGUACACAUUUCAAAACACUACACUUAACCAUUUUCAACUCUCUAAUUCAUUUCUCAAAUGACUAAACUUAACCAUUUUCAAGUCAUGAAUUCACAUUUCAAGUAUCAACACUAAACCAAUUUCAAGUCAUGAGUUCACAUUUUCAAGUGAUUACACUUUACAAAUUUCAAAACACAAGUUCACCUUUCAAGAACUACAUUAAACCAUUUUCAAGUCGCUAAUCCACUUUUCAAGUGACUAGUACACAUUUCAAAAUACUACACUUAACCAUUUUCAACUCUCUAAUUCACUUCUCAAAUUACUAAACCUAACCAUUUUCAAAUCAUGAAUUUACAUUUCAAGUAUUAACAUUAAACCAAUUUCAAGUCAUGAAUUCAUCUUUUCAAGUGGUUACACUUUAACAAUUUUAAAACGCAAGUUCACCUUUCAAGAACUACAUUUCAAGUCGCUAAUCCACUUUUCAAGUGACUAGUACACAUUUCAAAAUACUACACUUCUCAAAUGACUAAACUUAACCAUUUUCAAGUCAUGAAUUCACAUUUCAAGUAUCAACACUAAACCAAUUUCAAGUCAUGAAUUCACAUUUUCAAGUGAUUACACUUUACAAAUUUCAAAACAUAAGUUCACUUUUCAAGAACUACAUUAAACCAUUUUCAAGUCGCUGAUCCACUUUUCAAGUGACUAGUACACAUUUCAAAACACUACACUUAACCAUUUUCAACUCUUUAAUUCACUUCUCAAAUGACUAAACUUAACGAUUUUUAAGUCAUGAAUUCACAUUUUCAAUUGAUUACACUUUAAAAAUUUCAAAACACAAGUUCACCUUUCAAGAACUACAUUAUACCAUUUUCAAGUCGCUAAUACACUUUUCAAGUGACUAGUACACAUUUAAAAGCACUACACUUAACCAUUUUCAACUCUCUAAUUCACUUCUCAAGAGACUAAACUUAACCAUUUUAUAGUCGUGAAUUCACAUUUAAAGUUUCAACACUAAACCAAUUUCAAGUCAUGAAUUCACAUUUUCAAGUGAUUACACUUUACAAAUUUGAAAACACAAGUUCACCUUUCAAGAACCACAUUAAACCAUUUUCAAGUCGCUAAUCCACUUUUCAAGUGACUAGUACACAUUUCAUAACACUACACUUAACCAUUUUCAACUCUCUAAUUCACUUCUCAAAUUACUAAACUUAACCAUUUUCAAGUCAUGAAUUCACAUUUCAAAUAUCAACAGUAAACCAAUUUCAAGUCACGAAUUCACAUUUUCAAGUGAUUACACUUUACAAAUUUCAAAACACAAGUUCACCUUUCAAUAACUACAUUAAACCAUUUUCAAGUCGCUAAUCCAAUUUUCAAGUGACUAGUACACAUUUCAAAAUACUACACUUAACCAUUUUUAACUCUCUAAUUCAUUUCUUAAAUGACUUAACUUAACCAUUUUCAAGUCAUGAAUUCACAUUUCAAGUAUAAACACUAAACCAAUUUCAAAUCAUUAAUUCACAUUUUCAAGUGAUUGUUGACACCUAAUUUUUUUCCUCCGUAACUGAGUUUAGUCUUGAGUUUCUUCGAUUUUAAAAUAAAAUUACAACAUUUACUUUACCCGAAUAAAAGAUUUUCAAAUCGUUUAGUCGGCUAAUUUCAUCGUUUAAGUGACGAUUAUAUACUAUCGUAUUCAAUUAUACGAAAAUAUAUAUAUAAUUUUGUCGCUUAAACAUUUAUUCUACGGAAUGCCGGUCUUUUAAUUAAGGAUUAUCUUGAAAAUAAUUUUAAUAAUUAGAAUCUUGAUUCAAAUAAUUUACUCUCAAAAAAUAAUUUAUUCGGAUGAAUAUGUGUUUAAUUUUUAUCGAAUCAAGAAGCUUGGGGUUAAAUAAGCUAUUAAUUCAUUUCAAGAAAUGAUUUAAUUUGGAAAAUCUGUUACAUUCGUCCGCAAUUGAAAUCAAAUUGGCCAUAAUUGCGAUGCAAUUGGCCAAUUGAUCUUCAAUUCAGCCAAAACCUGAAUGAAUGGCCAAAUCCUCAAUUUCAACCCAAUUAGCAAAUCAGUAGCGGCCCAUUUUCUCUUCAAUUAUAUCAACCGGACCGAGCCAUAUAUUCCUGACCCACCAGCCCACCCCCUAUUUUCCAAAUUCCCAAAAUAAUCUAAACCAGCCCAAUGAUAAUUAACUGCCACCCCAAGCCCAACAACAAACGACCGGCCCAGCGCCUAAACCCCUACCCAGCCCAUCUUCUUUUCCUCUUUAACUUCCAUAAGCAACAAAAACUUCAAGUCAACACCAACCAUCGUUAACACCAACCAAAUCUAGAACCCACCUUCAACCCAGAAUUUGGAGAAACUAGAAACCAACUCCAUCCUUCUUCACGCGUUCCAUGCGAUAGCACGAUGAGGAAAGACCUAAAAGCUUCUAGAAAAUAGGUGAGUUGGCUCACCCCAACGGAUAAAUUCCAUGAAUCUCAAAAUUAUUGGUACGAUUUCAUACCUAUGUGUUUGGUUUUGAUUUGUUUUGGGAGGGGAUUUCUACUUUUCCUUUUCCUAUUGGUUGGAACCAAUUCAAAAUUUUCCAAGAAUCCAAAAAUCGGUACAAGUUCGAGUAACAAAUCCCGUUGUCAACCUUAUCAUCAGUUUUGAAUUUUGAAAUUUUUGUAAAAUACCAAGACUGCCCUUACGGGAAGCCCAAAAAUGAACCCUAUCUUUUUGUUUCUCUAUAAAGAGGGGGGCUUGAGUAUUCUAAGGGAGUCUCUUGCUUUUGGGGGGAGGAAGGAAAAAAUUUCUUGAGAGGAAAAUUCUAGGUCACUGUUUAUGGCAUUUUUUUUCUCUUCUUUUCCUUCUGAGGUUGAUAUUACGAGGUUAGUUAUCGAGAGGGGUUUUUCUUUUCUUUUUUUUUUUUGGCUUUUUGGGGAGGGGUUAGAAAUCUUGGUUGAAAUUAGAAGGUUUGAGACAAGAUUUGGAAAGAAACUGAAGAAAAAUUUUUCUUAAGCUAGUUCGAAAGGUUGAUUAGAAGUUGGGUUGGGGAUUCUGAAAUCAAAGAAGUUUAUUUCCUGAAAAAUUUGCUCGUCCAUUUCUUUUUUGGAAGCUAGUCGAUUAAUUAGGAAUUCCCGAGUCGACAACAUUAAUUCCCAGUGGUGACGACUUUACUAAUAGCUUAUCGUCCCGCUUGCUGCUCUGGAAUAGGUAAAGAUCCCUCAUCCUGUUUAAUAUACCGUUCUCUUCUUCCACCUUGUUUCAUUGUAAUGAUGUUUGGUCAUUCGAAUAUAAGGUCUAUUAGGGGGGCUGUAUUGGUUUAAAAGAUGAACAUAGUGUCUAUUAUGAGGGUGUAUGAUCUUUUGAAUGGUGGAGAGUCUGUUGUCUGGUUAUUUUCUUAAAGAAAUCCCUAUUCAUAGUUUCAUCUUGGUUGGUUCUGGUUCACUUGUUUUAUUUUGUUCACAAGACUGAAGCUUAAAAUGUGUAGGGGUUUUGUGGGUAUCCUGACCCCUAUUGAUCAAUUGCAAAAAAUGUGUUGGAAGUACAAGUAGUUUAUUAGCACGUGAGUCGUCUGAUGGUUGUUUAUAUUUUCAAACUCAAGUUGUCCGCUUGAGAACCAGUUUUCAAACCCACUCUAGAUACUUAGGAUAGAGCGAAACCAAAACCCUAUUUUAGGUAUGAGCCUAGGACGACAUAAUACCCGAGUGGGGUAUUGGGCCCAUUGAAAACCUACCCUGCGUCUAUUAACCCCGAGUAAAUUACAGAAGAAUCAUAUUUAUGUGUUGAAGAAAUAUAUGUUUGUUUUAUCCAAUCCAUUAUCCUUUGGGGGUCGGGAGAAUACUUGUUUUACUCACUUUUGUAUAAGGAUGCCUCAAUCGUACACCGAUUGACGAAAGAAUUGAAAUUGAUCGAUUUGGAAGGUUGCAUCUAAGGCACAGUUUACAUACGUCACCAAUAUAAGAAGGCGGAGGUUGAUAGAAGAAGCACUCAGGAAUUAGUAUUUUCUAUCCCCUGCGUGGGAGCUUUUCUUCUUUCAUGCUAUUUCCCUUGUUUCCUAAAGAUUGUACCCCUCUUUUGUUAUCGUUUGUAAGCACUUACGCAUACCUUUUUCGUGUCUAUAUAAGUUGGAUGAUAAUGGAUUGACUUUAUGAAAGCAUAUACUUUCUUCAAAAAUCGUUAGGCCUGAACCCUUGGUUCAAAAAGGGUCACCCCAGUUAGGAUACACAUUAUUAUAAUGUUUUGUGUAAUUGUCUUAUGAGCUUAUGUGUGUUUGUUUGGAUCAAAGGCAAGUUGAUCCGCUAUGCUCCUAUGGAUUAAUUGGAUAUGACUCAAACAACUCUACGUGGUUAUUUCUUGUCAAAUAUUUUGCAUUACUUAUCACAUACAAAAACUAACACAUCUGCUUUUGAGUUGUUUUACUUUACAGAUAAUAGAAACUACUCUGUGUUGAUAUAAGCUGGCAGAACAUCCCUACUUUAUCCACCCUAAAGUGCAUAAAAUCCCAUCCUCUGACCAUCAUUCAAUAGUGAUUGGAAAUGAUGAAGAAAACACGUUGGCCAUCAGGGACAAUGUAAUAGUGGAACAGAGUGAGAUGAUUGCGAAACUCGCAAGAAAAUUAGAAAUGCUUCAGGAGGAAAUAAAUCGUACUCGAGAUUUGGCUCACCUGGCCAUCACUAUUAAUGCUCCCGCUCCAGGAGAACAUGAUACUCCACUCCAAAUCCCUUCCCUCAGUACGCCUAUUCUUGGGGAUCAACCAAAUAACAUAUCAUUCGUCUCUGCCCCUCCACUUGUCCAAAAUACCAAUCAUGAAAAUAACCCAGAUGCUUACCAUCCACAAAAUCCAUCUCUAACCCCACAAAAUCCAUUUCUGAAUCCAUCUCCAAAUCCUCAAAAUACAUUCACAAAUCAACAAAACACAUUCCCAAAUCCGCAAAAUUCACUCCCAAAUCCACAAAAUAUGUCAAACCUACCUUUGAAUCCACCAAAUUCAUUUCCAAAUCUGCAAAAUCCUUCUCAUAUUCUGCCAAACUACUCACAAAGUCCACAGAACCUUCCCAAUUUUCAAAACAUACUCCCCACUUACCAACCAAGUUCUUUUCUUCCACAAAAUCAAGCCUCCCUUCAAAAUCCCCCUCAAGCCAUCAUAUCCCCUGAUAUUUUUGAACCCCUUCCUAACCCUGAGAUGGACCAUUACAAAGAAAAGGAGAAAGAGUAGAGUAUGAACCCCUUCCGAACCCCGAGAUGGACCAUUACGAGGAGAAGGAGAAAGAGUGAAGGACCCAGCAUGAAAGGAAUUUACUAGCUAUGAAGGAAGAGAUCAUGAGGAUCAAAGAGUCUCAUAGAGCCAGGGACCACGGCGGUUUAGGGUAUGACGAUUUAUCCGUUCACCUGGGAGUAGACCUACCAUAUGGGUACAAAGUCCCUAAGUUUGAGAUAUUUGAUGGUACCAAAAAUCCAAUGGCCCACCUGAGAAGGUACUGUGAGCAACUGGUAGGAAUAGGGAAAAACGAGGCAUUAUUGAUGCGCCUAUUAAGUCAAAGUUUGAGUGGCAAAACCUUGGAGUGGUUCAUGUCUCAGGAGCUAAAAAAGUGGACUGGAUGGAAAGCAUUGGCCAAGGGUUUCCUUGACCGGUUCGUAUUCAGCAUUGAAAUAGUCCCUGAUCGAUAUUCACUAUAUCGGAUCAAACAGAGAAAAGUUGAGAGUUUUUGAGACUAUGCUUUUCGUUGGAGAAAAGAAGCCGCCAAAGUGCAACCCCCCAUGUCCGAGGAGGAAAUGGUAUUCGUGUUCUCUCGCGCUCAUGAAGGAGAAUAUUAUACCAGGAUGGUGUCCGCUGUCAGGGCAAUUUUUGUGGAUUUGGCAAAAAUAAGAGAAUAAUUGGAAGAAGGUAUUUGGACAGGGAAAAUUGCCAAAACCCCGACGUCGUCUGCGACUGUCAUGUUCUCGAAGAAGAAAAAUGAAGAUGUAGGUGUGAUUUCUGCUAAUCCUGUUGCGAAAACGAAAAAGAGGUUCAACUUUAGAAAUGUUUUAUCUUCUCCGCCGUCACCCAACCUCCAACACGUGUUCUACGCGCAUCCCCAAUACCUAGCUCCACUCUCAAAUGCCCAACCUCCAUAUUAAUAAAAAUUAUGUAAAAUGUCGGAUUUGAAUUAAUAAAUUAUGAAAAAUGAUAAUUUAAUAAAUGUUGAAAUGACGAUAAAAAUAGUAAGACGUCACCACUCCCAAACAUCCAAUCCUCAUACCAAGCUCCACAACCAAAUACCUUUUCUCAUUACCUAGCUCCACCUCCAAAUUAUCAAUCUCAUUUACAAUCCACUCCUCUAAAUAACCAAACAAAUUUCCAAGCGCCUCCAAAUUAUCACCAAGUACCUCCUCCUCCAAAUCAAAGCCAGUACAACCCCCAACGUCUAAACCACGAAAAGAAACGUCCCCAAAACUUUACCCCACUAGGUGAAAGUCGCACUUAAUUGUUUGAAAGAUUGAAGAAUGCUGGUCAUUUGAAACCAACAUAGCCAAGGCAUGUCAAUACUAACUCUUGAUUUUUCAAUGCAAGUCAACAUUGUACCUAUCAUUCAAGAGUAGCGGGGCACAAUACAGAAGAUUGUGGCUACCUGAAACAUAGGAUCUAUGAUUUAAUCGAUCAGAAGGUCAUUACGCUCCAGGCACCUACACCAAAUGUUAACAGUAAUCCAUUGCCUAACCAUGGGGGGCCUACAGCUAACAUGAUUGAAAUAGAGGGUGAACGGGCAUCCAGCAAGACCAUCACUAAGGUAAAUUCAAAAGGACUCAAAAGAAUAAAAGAGGUGGAGAAGAUAGAGAAAGUUGUGACCACCUUAAGUAAGGAUUUGGAAGGAAUUGUUGAGCCUGUUAUGGUCCCAGAAAAAGCAUUUAAGCAUGGAAUAGAGUACCAACCAAGAAAAGAAAAUGAGAUCGAAGAUAAUUCAAAGGAGAGUCCGUCUAAACCAUCGUCACUCCUGCACCAAUUAUUUCCCUUACAUGAGACGUUAAAUGAUGAUGGUAUUGGGGAUGGGAUAGGAAAUCUGUUCAAGGGAUACAGUGCUGUAUCAGAAGAUUUUUCAAAACAUAGUGGGGUAAAGAAGGUUGCACCAGGAGAGGCUUUGCAAAAUUGGACUUCCACUCCGCUCCUAAUUCAUCACCCGUCGCUGUAGAUGGAAAGACAAUUACUAAUAGUUUUUAAAAUCGGUGAUGAUUCGGAAGAGGCCCUGUGAUCCAUCCUUUUAUGUCUCAAAUUGUCGUUUCGUGUUUUACAACUUUCAAAAAGGCAUGGGCCCACAUUUGUGUGGGUCAUAAGCCAUGGUUUUAUUUUCUUAUUUUCUGAAAGGCCUCCCUUUAUUUAAGAAGUUAUUUUUUUAAAUAUGAUUAUCUAGCAUGGUUUAUAUUGGUAGCAUUAAUUUAAAAACCUGUCAAUGUCAUGUCAUGUCAAGGGUAAGAUGAACACGGCGAAGGAAAUAAUGAUGAACAGAAAAGGUGAUGAGGAGCGGUUAGUAGUAGAUAUAAAGGAAUGUGAAAAUCAAAAGAAGCCCAACCUAGAGGAGCCCUAAUCCUACCUGAGACGUAUGGUCAAGAGUGGACCAAACUGAUCAAUUCUGAUGCGGUAAAGAUAUAUCAUGCUUGAAAGAUGUUAUAGUUUUUGCUUCUUGGCUUAUUUGUAAUCUCCUUUAUAAUAGUAUCAAUUUUAUGAAGUGUAAUCGCCUAGAAUCCUUUCCUUUUAUGUUCGAACUACGUUUGACCUGAAUUCCCAAAAGGGAGGCGGCCUAUGUCGGCUUCGGUCAACCCCUUAGGAAAUUUAUCCUUUCCCUUUAUGUAUGAACUACGUGAUGACCUAAAUUCCUGAGAAAGGGAUACGUAGGUGGCCUAUGUCGGCUUUGGUCAACCCAUUAAUUUCUUUUGUAUAUCCCUAGCGUAGUUUUGAACUACGUUUGACCUGAUUCCUGCUUCAACGGGAUACGUAGGCACCCCAACGGCUCAGUCAUACCCUAGAAAAUGGAAACUGGGGCAGAAUUUUCGAGAAGGAACCUCAAAAAUUCAUAAGAGAAGAUCGAUGCCGAACAAAGAGAAUGAAGAUCAGCAAAGACUUCAGAUCCACUCGAGUUAGUAUCAUCCCAAACAACUCUAAACUGGGGCAAAAAGUUUGAGGGAAGACCUCAAAAUUUCGACCAGACGCUGGAACAUAUUUCAAAUUCCCCAGCACUAGAGGUCAAAGUUGAGAUUGGAGAAUCACCACCUGUGAUAAAUAUUAGGAAGAUUGAAUCACCGUCUUUGAUAAAAACUUCUGGUAGAGAUCCUUGACAAUACUGAAUCCCUAACAAUCCUCUGUCAAACGUCGGACAUUGUCAGAAUCAAGAAAAAGAUGGUCGUUGGACUAGCACAUGACAUGACUAGCAGAGAUUUUCUAAAGCUUUCGAAACUAAUUUCUAAAAUUUAAGACUACUUUCAAAAAUCCUCAUAAAUCUUUUAAUUAGUAUUUACCUAGACAUCAAUUGGGACGGAGAGUCAGGGGUAGAGGUCCCAGCAUGAUGAAGCACCUGAAAGAUGGCGAGGAGCAAAUCAAGGAUUGAAUGAGGUCAAAACGGAGUAAUUUUAUUCAAACUAAUCAUUUUUUUGUGGAUGCAGGGAUCAAUACACAAAAAUAAGAGUCUCUUUCAAAAAAUACCCAGCAAAUUGGGUGCCACACUGGAGCAUUAAUGCCCAAGAACGGUGUUUUAGGGUAGCCCUAAAAAUAGGUUUAAUGCCCAUUUAAUGAGGACCUUUUGAUUUGUCCAUCUCAUUUCUUGAGAUCGUAGGCGACAAACAAAAGCUCUUUGUCUUCUUUACAAAUAUUAUAUUUAGAAGUUUCCUAAAAAUAGUCGCUAGUAAAAGAGACUUUGUGUUUACUAAUCGUCCACCUUGAGUACAGGUACAUGUAGAAAGCAGGACACUGACAAAUAAAGCCACGUAAAAUUAUUUUAUCAUUGCCGCAAAGGCCAUUAGAUAUCAUUGCCGCAAAGGCCAUCGCAUAUCAUUGCCGUAAAGGCCAUGACAUAUUAUUAUCGCAAGGGCAAUCACAUAUCAUUGCCGCAAAGAACAAUACAUAUCAUUGCUGCAAAGACCAUUACAUAUCAUUGCCGCAAAGGUCAUUACAUAUCAUUGCCGCAAAGUCCAUUACAUAUCAUUGCCGUAAAGGCCAUUACAUAUCAUCGCCAUAAAGGCCAUUACAUAUCAUUGCCGCCAGGGCAAUCUCAUAUCAUUGCCACAAUGGCCAUUUCAUAUCAUUACCGCAAAGGCCAUCUCAUACCAUUGCCCCAGAAGGCAUUCAAUAUCUGUUGACGCGCUAGACACAAUGCUGGCAUCGAGGAUAUCAUCAUCAUUCAAUAUCUGUUGACGCGCUAGACACAAUGCUGGCAUCGAGGAUAUCAUCAUUCAAUAUCUGUUGAUGUGCUAGACACAACGUUGGCGUCGAGGAUAUCCUCAUCAUUCAAUAUCUAUUGAUGCGCUAGACAUAACACUGGCAUCGAGGAUAUCACCAGCAUUCAAUAUAUCUGUUGACGUGCUAGACACAACGCUGGCAUCGAGGAUAUCAUCAUCUUUUCAUGAAUCAGUAGCUGAAUGCAUCGAGAGCGCAUGAUUUGAAGGGACGCCUUUAAGUCGCUAUCUAUGGAUGAAAGAUAUAUAAGGUUUCCUAGAAAUUGACAAUUUGAGGGUCAUCUAUAAGUCAUAUUAUUUGAAAUAGGAUAGUGUGCAAGAUCACCUAUGAGUUGAUAGCUUGUAGGUCAUCCGUAAGCCACAACAACAUCCUAACCGAAUAAUGUGCAAGAUUGCCCAAAAAUCGAUAGUUCAAAGGUUAUCCACAAGCCGCAACUAAAUCCUUACCGGAGAAUAUGCAAGAUUAACAAAUUGAUAUGUCCAAAGGUUCUCUAUAAGACGCGUCAUAUCCAAGAUUGAUUAUGUGCAGGAUUACCCAAAGACUAAUAAUUUGAGGGAUUAUCUAUAAGUCAUAUUGUAUCCAAGGUCGGAUGAUGUGCAUCAACACCUGAAAGCUAGCAACUGGAGGGAUAUCGGUAAGCCAUCUCUUAUCCAAAGUCAAAUAAUGUGCAGGAUUACCUAAAAGCUAGCAAUUCAAAGGAUAUUUGUAAGUCGCCUCGUAUCCAACUUCAAAUAAUGCACAAGAUUAUCCAAAGAUUGACAAUUUAAAAAAAAAAAUUAUAAAUCGAUCAUCUGCUAUAACCAAAGAGGUUAUCAUUCCACAUACAAAAAGUGAUAUAGGUAACCAAAAGGGUUGCCACACCAGUAUAAGAUUACACAGCUAUAGGGACCGUUCUACAAAAAAUAUCCUCGGUGUCCAAAAGGGCCACCCCACUCUGAAGGCAUAUUCAACCGACAAAUGUCAUAAUUAUACAACAACCAAGAUGAUUGUUGUAUUUGUUGUUGCCAGUUAUUUCAUUCCAAAACAGGUGCAUGGAAAGAUGACUUUGCUUCUUAGACAACAACUCACGUGGAGAUGUGGUAAAAACUAUACUCCUUUCUCGUGAAUUGUGCUUAUUAUUAAUGAUUUUUGUUUGAGAUAUUGUUGAGAGCAUCCGAGAGGAUGAAAAUCUCAAAUCAAAACCACAGGUGCGGACGACUCCCAAAAAGAACGCAGCACAACGUCGAACUCUGACUCAGCAGCAAAAUGGGACAUAGUCUGGAGAGAGAUGCCAAACUCUCUAGACACGAGCUAAAUGAUGAUCACCACCACCAUCUAACCACGCCUCUAUUAGAAAGAAUGUGGGUAUUUUUGGAUAUUAUGGUCUCAGCUUUACUUUUGAGAUGUUUUCUUAACUCAUAUCGAGAGGAACUUUCUCAUCCUUUCAAAUUCAAGUGACAACAUACUUAGAAUUUUGGAAAUUAUGGCCGGGUAAGUUCUUUUCUAUGAGUGGGAAGGAUCCCACAUUCUUGAUUAAGAGGUUACAAGCCUUUUUCCACAGCUCAAUCAACUUGUCAUUUAUCCUAAGCCAAAGACCGUCUGAAAUAAAGGCUAUCUUUUCUACCGAUUGAGUCGAACUACAAGCAGUCUGAUUCCUUAAGUCUUGGGGAUAUGUAGGCUGGGCUCCGUAUAGAAAACUCAAUUGCGUUCCAACCUCCCCUAAAUCCCUCUACUCCCUCACUUUUUUUAUUUUAUCAUAAAUUCCCAAAAAAUCGAGAUAUCUUGUGAAUUUUUGAAACCUGAUGCCGAGGUCCUGCCAUAACUCCUUAGGAUCGUACAUAAACCAACUUCCUCCAGAUAUGAAUUUGUGGUCGGACAAAAUUAGGGACAUCAACCUCUCUUUGCCCAGGGUCACUUGCAUUCACCCUAUCCAAAGGGAGAGGGCAGUUGUUGACACCUAAUUUUUGCCCACAGUAACUGAGUUUAGUCUCGAGUUUCUUUGAUUUUAAAAAAAAAUUACAACAUUUACUUUACCCGAAUAAAAGAUUUUCAAAUCGUUUAGUUGGCUAAUUUCAUCGUUUAAGUGAUGAUUAUAUACUAUCGUAUUCAAUUAUACGAAAAUAUAUAUAUAAUUUUGUCGCUUAAACAUUUAUUCUACGGAAUGCCGGUAUUUUAAUUAAGGAUUAUCUUGAAAAUAAUUUUACUAAUUAGAAUCUUGAUUCAAAUAAUUUACUCUCAAAAAAUAAUUUAUUCAGAUGAAUAUGUAUUCAAUUUUUAUCGAAUCAAGAAGCUCGGGGUUAAAUAAGCUAUUAAUUCAUUUCAAGAAAUGAUUUAAUUUGGCCAAUCUGUUAGAUUCGGCCGCAAUUGAAAUCAAAUUGGUAAUAAUUGUGAUGCAAUUGGCCAAUUGAUCUUCAAUUCGGCCAAAACCUAAAUGAAUGGCCAAAUCCUCAAUUUCGACCCAAUUAGCAAAUCAGUAGCGGCCCAUUUUCUCUUCAAUUAUAUCAAUCGAACCGAGCCAUAUAUUCCUGACCCACCAGCCCACUCUCUAUUUUCCAAAUUCCCAAAAUAAUCUAAACCAGUCCAAUGAUAUUUAACUGUCACCCCAAGCCCAAUAUCAAACGACCGGCCCAGCGCCUAAACCCCUACUAACCCAUCUUCUUUUCCUCCUUAAAUUCCAUAAGCAACAGCAACUUCAAGUCAACACCAACCAUCAUCAACACCAACCAAAUCCAAAACCCACCUUCAACCCAGAAUUCGGAGAAACCAGUAACCAACUCCAUCCUUCUUCACGCGUUCCACAUGAUAGCACGAUAAGAAAAAACCUAAAAGCUUCUAGAAAAUGGGUGAGUUGGCUUACCCCAACGGCCAAAUUCCUUGAAUCUCAGAAUUAUUGGUACGAUUUCGUACCUAUGUGUUUUUUGGUUUUGAUUGGUCUUGGGAGCGGAUUUAUACGUUUCCUUUUCCUAUUGGUUGGAACCAAUUCGAAAUUUUUCAAGAAUCCAAAAAUCGGUAAAAGUUCGAGUAACAAAUCCUAUUAUCAACCUUAUCAUCAGUUUUGAAUUUUGAAAUUUUGGAAAAAUACCAAGACUGACCUUACGGAAAGCCCAAAAAUGAACCCUAUCUUUUUGUUCCUCUAUAAAGAGGUGGGCUUGAGGGUUCUAAGGGGGUCUGAGGGAGGAAAAAAGUUCUUGCGAGGAAAAUUCUAGGUCACUAUUUAGGUUAUUUUUUUCUCUUCUUUCCCUUCUGAUGUUGAUAUUACGAGGUUAGUUAUCGAGAGGGGUUUUUCUUUUCUUUCUUUAUUUUGGCUUUUCAGGGAGGGGUUAGAAAUCUUGGUUGAAGAUUAGAAGGUUAGAGACAAGAUUUCGAAAGAAACUGAAGGAAAAUUUUUCUUAAGUUAGCUUGAAAGGCUGAUUAUAAGUUGGGUUGGGGAUUCUGAAAUCAAAGAAGUUUAUUUCGUGAAAAAUUUGCUCGUCCAUUUCUUUUUGGGAAGCUAGUCGAUUAAUUGGGAAUUCCCGAGUCGACAACAUCAAUUCCCAGUGGUGAUGACUUUACUGAUAGCUCAUCGUCCCACUUGCUGCUCUGGAACAUGUAAAGAUCCCUCAUCCUAUUUAAUUUACCGUACUAUUUUUCCACCUCGUUUUGCUGUAAUAAUGUUUGGUCGUUCAAAUAUGAGGUCUAUUGGGGAGGGAGGGGCUUUGUUGGUUUAAAAGAUGAACAUAGUGGCUUUUGUCAGGGUGUAUGGUCUUUUAAAUGGUGGAGAGUCUGUUGUCUGGUUAUUUUCUUAAAGAAAUCCCUAUUCAUGGUUUCAUCUUGGUUGGUUCUGGUUCACUUGUUUGAUUUUGUUCACAAGACUGAAGCUUAAAAUGUGUAGGGGCGUACUCAGGGAAGUAUGAGUCUGUUUUCUUGAUUCCCAUAUGUAAUAAUGCAGAAAGUGAUGGCUCUUUGGGGUUGUUUCUGGAUGUGUUUUAAUCAUAUCCUUGUAUAGCAUACCAAGUCCAGAUUGUCAGGUUUUCUAUAUCAUUUCUUUCUAGAAUUUUCCUUUCAUCUAAGUUCUAUCCUUGGCUUUCAAUUUUCUGUUCCCAGGUCGGAUUGACAACAUUCUGUUCGUAGCUCAUAUUUGGUGUGGUUCUGAUGGUCAUUAUUAGUCUAAUGUGAUGCUCAUAAGUUGGGGUGCAAUUAAAUCUAUGUUAGUUUAAUGAAUUGCUUGUAUCAAAUCUGGGUAUCUUUUGCCUUAAGUUGCUCUUUGUUGUUAUGUAUAGCACUAUUAUUAUACUAACGGGAUAUCAGAUACGUUUUCAUGUUUCUUUGAGCGUUGUUUCUAGACGUUUCGCCAAGUAAGGAGUUCUCUGCCUGUUGAAUAAAAAUAAGUAUCAUCUUGAUAAUUGAUUGAAGUGUUAGUUGUUAGGAUGCUAUAGUAUUUGUGUACCCACUGAAUUUCUUCUAGUUAUUCAUGCUUAAAUUAAUUCCAUAUGUGUGGAUCAUAUUUUUGUUCCAUUGUUUUAUAAACUUGAAUGCAGUUAGGCAUAUGUUAUAAACUCGAAUGCAGUUAGGCAUAUGUUAGAGUAAAUAGUUGCUUCUGCCAAAUGUGGUCCCUUUUCGUAAUGUUUUCCCUUCCUCUGGAUCUUAUGACAUUACACCAUUAAAAUAUAUUUUAAUGCUCUGCCAAGCAUUCUAUCUAAUUGGUUUCCUGCGUAUCGAAUGGAAUUACUAUUAUGUUUAUAUGGAUUGAACUAUUGGUUGUCAUUUUGCAGUGUUCGUGUAUCGGUUCAAAUUCUUUCUUAAGUUCUUUUAGUUGAAUUAUUUCCUCAUCCUUAUUUUUACAUGUUCCUUGCAUGAACCCGCUUUGUGAGAAAAAAAAAUGGACCCUAUUCCUGCUGUUGCAUUAUUAAUGGGGGCCAAUGAGACCCAUUCCUCACGAGCCAAUUAUUAAAAAUCUUAAAACAAGGACCUCAUAGUACGCGGAUCUGAGAGGUUAAUGAAGAACAGCAAUAGAUUAAAGGCCUACGUUUGGAGCGGUUAAGAGGCUCAAAAGUCUCAUUCGUUGUUUUAUUUACUUGUUUAUUUAUUUAUUCAUCUAUUUGGGUCUCAAAGCCAAAGUUGUAAAUUUAAUACAGGUGGAGCGAUACUCGAGCCAAAGGCUCGAAAUAUAAACUAGGAUAGGUGGAAGACGAGCUGAAAGCCUAAUAUCUAGACUAGGACAGGGUGACGAAUUUGGGCAUAAAGGCCCAAAUAAUUUAUUUCUUCCUCUAUUUUCCUUUCGUUAUUUUAUUUUCUUAGUGUUCGAAUCUAGUUAACUCCCUAACUAAGUCGCUAAAAAACUGAUUUUGCAAAAACCUUCUCAGUAAUUAACUACUUUUCCAACAAAUCGAUUUUUCAAAGUUAGUCAAAAGAACGUUUUCAAACAGAUUGGAUAACCGCAAGUUAGAGGACGUUUUAGGUGUCUAACACCUUCCUAAAACAUUAAUAGGAACCGCUUACUCAGAAUCUUCAAACUUAAAAUGAUUUUUCUGUUUUGAAUCGUUUGAAGUAACUCCCUAAAAGUUUCUUAAUUCCUUUUCAAAAUUAAGUGGCGACUCUCUUUCACAAAAUGUCAAAAUUUUAUCAAAACAGUGAUUACACUUUUUGAAUUUCAAAACACAAGUUCACCUUUCAAGAACUACAUUAAACCAUUUUCAAGUCACUAAUCCACUUUUCAAGUGACUAGUACACAUUUCAAGGAACUACACUUAACCAUUUUCAACGCUCUAAUUCACAUUUCAAGUGACUAAGUCUAACCAUUUUCAAGUCAUGAAUUCAUAUUUCAAGUGUCAACAGUAAACCAAUUUCAAGUUAUGAAUUCAUAGUUUCAAGUGAUUACACUUUACAAAUUUCAAAACACAAGUUCACCUUUCAAGAACUACACUAAACCAUUUUCAAGUCCCUAAUCCACUUUUCAAGUUACUAGUACAUAUUUCAAAAUGCUACACUUAACUAUUUUCAACACUGCACUGAACCAAUAUUCAAAACUUUAACGCGUCCGUUAAUGUUAAUUAAAACAUAUGCUUGAAUUCCACAUGUAUUUGUGAGUGAUUGAAUAUGGCACUAACACAGCAUGGGAUGGCCAGCUUGUUUGUGUAACAUAUUUGAAAACCCCAACUAACAAAUCUAUAAAAUAAAAUUGAAAGUGACAAUACCAAGUGAUAUAUAUAUAUAUAUAUAUGAUGAAUAAUGAAUAAUUAGAUAAAAAAAAUUAUUUAUUAUAAGAUUUUACGAAUUAACACAAGUUAUAUAGUUCUAGUCAUUACUCAACCAUAGUGUUAAUUAGGUCCAUUAAUGUUUCCUGUGUUUAUCCCUUAUGAUUCAUGAAAAAAAAAGAUUAUAUUCUAGUAUCUAAUGUUUCUAUUAAUCUAUAAUGAACUCCAACUAUGAGAGGGUUAUAACUUAGUGAUCAAAAGCAUAGGCAUAAUUAACAACUCAGUUUACAAACCCCUCCUGUAUUACUUCAACAAUAAAAAGGAAAUUAAAACUCAAAUGAACACAGAUAAACUACGAAAAAUACCAACUUCAAAAUAAAAAGAUCGAACCAAAAUACGAGAGAUAGAGAAGAAGGGGAUGAGAAGUGCAGACUUAAAAUUAGGGAUGAGAAGACUACGGAUUUUUCAUAGUAAUUUUGUUUGCCUCUUCUCUUCUUCAUACGUGUUAUUAUUUAUAACUAAUGCAUCACCCGAGUCCCACACAUAACUUUUUCAUUUUCUAAUUUUUCCCUUCACUGUAUAUUCUUGACUCAAAUCAUUCAUAACACAUAAGUAAACGUCAAUUAAACUAAAUUUGUUCAUCAAGCACAACUGAAAAUAGUGAAAAAUAAUAAAGCAGCAAGUAGAUAUCAAUUAAGGUAAGAGAGCUAACGGAGAAAAGAAUGAGGAAGACCAGAGAGGCGGUGGGACGACUGAUAUAGAUGGCUUUUCGUCAAUGAAAACUCCGGCGUUAUCUCGAUGGCGGCAUCCACUAGUGCUUUGCCGGCUAACAUCGCGGAUGCUGAGAGCAUUUCAUGGUGUCAGCGCUGGCUUUGAGGCUAGCCGAUUGGUCUGUCAAUAUUGGCGACACGACAGGGAGAAGAAGAAGGCAAGGGAGGCGGCGCCAUUGUUGGUCAGUCCACCGGCGGCGGUUCGCUGUCUGUUAUGAGAGUCUUCUAGAGAGAGAGAAUAUAGGGAAGGAAGAGCCUUUGUGCGACGGAAAAAUGGGGGCUUAGGGUUUGGUCAUGUGUUUUAAAAGGAAAGAGAGGGUAUUUUGAUCUCAACCGUUGGAUCAGUUUUGAUCGACGAUUGAGAUUUAAAGAUUGAGAAUUUGAUCAAAUUUGCAUAAAUUUUUCAAUUGAGUCACAAAUUGGCUAUAAUUGUAAUAAAUUGAAUAAAACUAGGCUAAAAUUGGUAUAUUAUGGUAAUAAAUUGGCUCAAAAAAUAAAUAGAUCAGAUAAACUGAUUUAAUUUAGGAUAUUAUUUAAAUAAAUAUUAUAAAUAAUAAUAAUAAUAAUAAAAACUAGACAAUAUAUUUGCAAAAAAUAUGAGUGUGCACCAUUGCGUGAAAAAAAUAAUUUAAUAAAAUUAUGUAAAAUGUCAUAUUUGAGUUUAAAAAUUAUAGAAAAUGGUACUAAAAUAAUUUGUGCAUUUUUCUAAAUUAUGAAUGUGACAUGUCAAUAUGUAUUUAAUAUAAGAAUAAUGUGCACAAAAAUAUUAAUAAUUGAAAUCAAAUAAUUUUGAUAAAAUAACAGCCUAAAAGUAGUAUCGGGAGGUCAAAAUUGGGUGUAAACAUCAGCCGUUGGAUCAAUUUUGAUCAACGGCUAAGAUUAAAAUUACUUUAAAAAGGGUAAAAAAAAAUUAAUAUCAAUUUGGUUAAAAUUGACAUUAAUUGUGUACAAGAUGGCUAGAAAAUAAACACAUUGAGAAAUUAAAUUGAAUGGAAUUAGGCUCGCUAUUUUAAUAAAUGUGAUAAUGAUGAGAAAAGACAUCGAUAUCAAAAUAAACCAAGCAUGUAAAAAUUAAUGUUAUAUAAAAUUAUCGAUAGUAGUAAUAAUAAAGACAAUGCAUUUGUAAAUUGUGAGUGUGCACAUUUACGUAAAAAUAAAUAAAUAUUAAUAAAAAUUAUGUAAAAUGUCGGAUUUGAAUUAAUAAAUUAUGAAAAAUGAUAAUUUAAUAAAUGUUGAAAUGACGAUAAAAAUAGUAAGACGUCAAUAUUAAAAUAAACUAAGCAUGUAAGAAUUAAUAUUACGUAAAAUUACUAUAUAAAAUAGCAGCCUGAGAGGGGUAUCGUGAGGUCAAAAUUGGAUGUCAACACAAUUAAACCGAUUUAGUCCCACAAAUUAGGUCUGUGGAGGGUACAGUGUACAUAGACCUUCUAGAAAACCUAUUCAAGCUUGAAGAUUCUUGUAAAAUAAAACACAUCAUGUAGGAUUUUUGCUGCAAUUAAGAUUUCAUUUUUUUUCUUGUUAAUUAGUUGCUACUAUUUCUAUGUUAUGCAUAUUUUCUUAUUGGUUAAACCGAAAAUCGAACCGUUAAGGACUAAAAAUCGAUAAACCAAAAAUCGAUAAAAAAAUACCUUAUUGAUUUGAUUAUUGGUUUAACUUAUUUAAAAAUCGAUAACCGAUAAACCAAACUAAUAAUAUAUAAAAUCAAACCGAACCAACUAAUGCACACCCCUAAUUUAAAAAAAAAUAGUGAAAUUAAUUUAAUAUUGACCGUUGAUCAAAUAUGAUGAACGGUUGAGAUUAAAAUUGAGCAGAUGAAUCAAAUUGGGAUUAGAAAUUGGGUUAAAAAAAUUGAAUUGGAGAUUUCGAUUAUAUUAAUACAACGUAUUAAUAUGAUGAAUUGUCGGUUAAUUGGCUUCAUUAUUAUAACUUCACUAGUGUAUGAUUACCUCGAUCAUAUGGUGUUAACGUAUUAUUCAAAAUAUUUGAAUAUAUAGAUUCAGUUAGCUAUCUUUUAACUACUAUGUACAUCACUAUACGAGAGAUACGUAUUUAUACAUACAUACAUACAUACAUAUAUAUAUAUAUAACUAUCAACUUUGUAAUAUGUACUAUAUACAUUACAUACACGAGUAUAGUACCUCGUAAUACGUCGUAUUUUAUUUCUACUCUGAUGAAUUAUCGUUUAAUUUAGCUUACAUUAUUAUGUUAUAACUUCAACAAUAUAUUAUUACCUUGAUCAAUCGAUUGUAUUAUAUCAAUGUAUUCAAUAUAUAUAGUUGAUUGACUAUAAAAUUCACAAUAUGUACUAGAUACAUCAGAUACACAUGUAAAUUACCUCGUAAUACAACGUUUUGUAUAUAUACAAUGAUAAAUUAUGAUUUAAUUUAGCUUAUAUUAUUAUAUUAUAACUUCAAUAGUAUAUGUUUUUUUGAUCAAUCGAUCGUAUGAUAUUAUAAUUGAAUACAUUUAGUUUUUUAAAAUAUAAAAAUUAUUUAUUUAAUAGUAAAUUUAAAAUAUCAAAUAUCGACGGAUAGUGUCGUUUUCAUAAAGUUAAUUUUUAUUUAGUUUUAACAAUUGUCCGUCACUUUUUAAAAAAAAAAUAAAGAAAAAUUAAAAAUAUUUACAAAUUGUGACGGACAACGUCUCAUUUCUAGAAUUAAUAAUUUAAAAAAUAAAAAUUAUAGCGAUGUUGUCCUUCGCUUUUAAUAAAACUAAACAAAAAUAAAAAUUAAAUUUAAAAAGUGAAGGACAACGUCGCUUUUCAAAAAAAUAAUUUUUAUUUAGUUUUAAAAAAGCGACGUUGUCCUUCGCUUUUUAUAAGAAAAAAAAAUUAAAAAUAAUUACAAAUUGUGAUGGACAGCGUCGCUUUUCUGUAAUUAAUAUUUUUAAAAAUAAAAAUUAUAGCAACGUUGUCCGUCGCUUAUAAUAAAAAUAAAUAAAAAUAAAAAUUAAAUUUAAAAUGCGACGAACAACGUGACUUUUCAAAAAAUUAAUUUUUAUUUAGUUUUAUCAAAAGAGACGUUGUCCGCCGCUCUUUGUAAAAAAUAAAAAAAAUUAAAAAUAAUUAUAGAUUGCGACGGACAACAUUGCUUUUCUAGAAUUAAUAUUUUAAAAAAUAAAAAUUAUAGCGACGUUGUUCGUCGCUUUUAAUAAAAAUAAAUAAAAUUAAAAAUCAAAUUUAAAAAUCGACGGACUACGUCGCUUUUCAAAAAAUAAUUAUUAUUAUUUGUAAAUAAAUUACGACGUUAUCCGUUGCAUUUAUUACAAAAAUUAUAAAUUAUUUUUCAAUUAGUUGACACAAUAAUCCGCUAGAAAAGCGAUGUAUAUUAAGACGUUGGCCUUCAAUUUUAAUAAAAAAUAAAUAAAAAUAAAAAUAAAAAUAAAAAAGCAACGGACAGUGUUGCUUUUUAAAGCGACACAGUUCGUCGCUUUUUUUUUUGCGUUGCUUUUUGGCCUUUUUUUAGUUGUGAAGGAAAUACGUCUCCUUACAAAAAUCCACUUGAAUUAUCUAAGUAAAUGCGUCUCCUGGACAAGAAAGUGGGUCUUCUAGAGAUAUUGGAUUAUAAGUUUUACCAUAGUUUUGAUCACCAAACUUGUGCAACAACAUUGUCUCUUGCAUUUGUAGAAGUGAGAAAUUACGAUCGUUGAUAUUUAGGCUUUAAAGUCCUUGUUUUGAAGGUAACAUGUUUCCUGUUUCAUCAAAGAAAACUUGUGAAUUUAAAAAAAACAUAUUGGCUGGUUUGUGGCUUAGCUUUUGCGGCACUGGCUCUUGCCCCUGUCACAUUUAAUCUUGUUUUCAACCAUUAGCAUAUGUCAUUGACUUGCUGCAUCAUUGAUCCGAACUCAGAUUAUUAAGAGUGACUCUGAAAUAGACACGGUAUCUUUGCUUUGCCAUGCUUCUCAGAUAAACCCUUUGAACCUUGGUAUUUCCAUGUGUUCCCAGACUUGUCUAUUGACAAAACUUUCUUCAUGCGUUAUUUUGGCUCACAAUCAUGUCUCUUCAUGUGGCACGACUUUUGUCUUACUUUAUGCAAUUGAAGAAGCUGGUGACCAGUUUUGAAAUCUUUUCUCACUUGUUUUGACAUGGACUUGACUCAAUGACAAGAGAAAAAUGACAAUAAUUUUUUAUUUGAAUAAUUGACUCAAGAAAAUAAAAUAAAAAUAAAGAGACGAAAGAAAAGACAAGGAAUAGCCCCAUUUGAAACAAAGAAAUGAAAAAUUUAUCUAAAAAUGAUAGUCAACUCUAAUGAUUAUACCAUGCAUUUUGGAUUAAGCUGUCUAACCUUUCCAUCCAAAAUUUCUACCAAUUGUUCUUGAGUUAAUGGCCCUGAAACUGAGUUACUUCCUUGGACCAAUUGCAUUCGUAGACUUCAUUCGGCUAGUGGUGCCUUAAAGGGUUUUUGCCAACAAGUCUCUCUCAUUUUCUUUCUCUCAGCUCACCAUUUUUCUAUGGUGUCCAUGAGGGUUUUCAGUAAUGAGACUCUGUCGUUUUUAUCACUCUCAGCUCACCAUCGCCUUAUGGUGCCCGUGAGGGUUUUCACCAAUAAGGCUUUCUCAUUUUUAUUUCUCUCAACUUAAUCGUCUUAUGGUGCCCGAAAGGGUUUUCACUAGUAAGACUCCCUCAUUGUUAUUUCUCUCCUAAUUCUUUAUACUGAGGAAGAAAAGUAGUUACCAAAUGCAUCAUCAUAUCCAUUGCAUGCUUAGCCUUAACAUUCUCAAAUAUUGAUCUGAAGGUCUUUCUUUGCUUGUAACUUGGAUUUUGGAUAAGGUUAGAAAGAAAGGAUGACAUGAGGCUCAAAAGACACUUGAAGUGGGGUAGGACUUACAACUUUUAGAAUCGACUCAAACAAUAAUGGUUAACUCAUGCCCCAGUUUCUUUUAACUGGGUGAUUCUAAAUUGUUUAUUUGGUUGGACUGAGCCCAGAGUAAGGCAACCUGCGUAUCUCACCCCCGAGAGAGGAGAAUCAGGUCACAUGUAGUUCUGACAACUUAUUCUUUUGCUUGAUUUUGAUUUAUUUUCUUUUUUUUAUUGAUACUCUUUUUUCUUUGGGACCUUUUCUGACUCUAUUUUUCUCAACACUCUUCUCUUUCUUUUUUUUUUUGACAUAUUUUUUCUCUUUUUUUUCUGACUCUAUUUUCACUCGACACAUUUUUUUUUGAACUUUGCUGACUCUAUCUUGAUUCCAAAAGAUGGGUACAAACAAAAAUAGAACUAAAGCUCAAAUGGGGUAAACAAAGGAUGACACGAUGUUUGGAUAGCAGAAUGGAAUGCUUGUGUCAUGUCAACCCUUAAAAAUGCAAGUACAUAACAUGCAAUAUGAAAGUGAAAGAUGAUGGUCAUUCGUGACCCUUUUUACAUCACUAACUUUAACUAAGCAUGUGUGUCACUACUUUUGCACUUUGUUCAACAUACAACUCCACUUUUGUUGUACAUUCCUCACAUUGAAUGACUCAUGAUUUCGUGAAGCUGAUUUUCUUUUUGUUCCUCUUGAUAUAGUAUUGCGCAUCCAACUAUUUGACCUAAUUGAGAUAUGUCUUUCCAUUGAUGACCAAGUUAUUCCUGUGAUUCUUAAAAUAAUUGCCUUAAUUUUGAAAUAAGGCUUCAAUAUGUCACCAAAUGUCUCAGCACUCUACCUAUUUUCUCAUCUGCUUUUUCUAACUUUAUCCUUCUGAUUCAAAGUUCAUGCUCAAUUUGGAUUUUAAUAUCUAGCUGAAAAUUCUGCAAGCAUGUCAUAGCACUAGAGCCAAUAUAAAAUAUACUACAUAAAUAAAAAAAACAAACAACACAUAUUUAAAACACAAAGGGAAAAGGGACACUAUAUUUAGUUGAAAUAGAAGAUAAAAGGGCUUGAACAUAACCGACAAAAGGACAAAACAAGAUAGAUCCUGAACUACAACCCCUGAAAUAAUUCGAAUAACAAAAAAGAAAAGAAAACAAACUACCAGACCCCUUCCUAGUAAGGAGAGAAGUGACUUCUAACUUGCUGAGCUUCACAUCUUAGCCACUGGUUUGCAUAUCAGCAUGACUAAAAAUUUUCUCACUGUUAACGUUUUACACCAUAAUUGAUUUAUCUUGAAUUAUAUUUUCUAUUUCUCUUUUCAAAGCACGACAAUCUUCAGUACUGUGACCUUGAAAAUCAGAAUGAUAUGCGCAUCGUACAUUAGGAUCAAAACUUCUUGAAUGCGGGUCAGGAGUAUACCCAAGGAGAGGAGUGAUCAUACCCUGUCGUACCAAUCUCAGGAAUAAACUAGCAUACGACUCUCCAAUUGGUGUGAAGCUAUUUCUUGACUGCUGCCUUAUUUUAUUAUUUAGCUUGGAUCGAAAAUCAGGCCUAGAAGGGCUUUGGUAUGUUUGUGGAGUUGGAGGGUGACUGUGAGGAGUUGGUGCAUGCCAUUGUGGGUAAGGUGAGGGUUAAACAUGUGGUUGUACAUUAUACACUGGAUAUGGAUGUGGAAGAAUGGAGUAUAAUGGAUUUUGGGAGUGAUUCUGUGGAGCUUGGGCAUGAACUUGGGUUUGAGCCUGAGGGUAACGACGACGUGGUCUUCUUGUCCGUGCUCGCUGUCCAACUACAAUAGCAGAUACAUUUUCCUCAUUCGUUUUUCUCCCAAUGCUUCCUGAACCCUUUUGAAUUACUUAAGUAGUUGCUUUCAAUGUUGCAAAACUCACAAUGCGACCAGUCUUAAUUCCAUCCUCUAUCAUCUUCACCAUUUUGAGAGCCUCAAUAAAUGGCUUGCCUAAUGCAGGUAACAAGUGUUGAUAAUAUGUUUCAUCCUGUGCUUGAAUAAACAUCUCCACUAUUUUGCUUUCUUUCAUUAGCGGCUUCACCCUAGCAGCUUGUUCAGGCCAUCGAAUCGCCUACUCUCUGAAACUUUUAGUACUCUUCUUCUUUAUGUUAGUUAGGAUUUCUCAUUAGAAAUCAACUCCACAUUGUAUUGAAAUUAUUGCACGAAUUCAUUAGCUAGGUCAUCCCAACUAAUCUACUUAUCGAUGUCUUGGAACCAUUUCGAAGCUAGGCCUGAAAGAUUCUCACCGAAAUCAGCCAUGAGCAAUUCUUUCUUCCCUCCAGCGCCCCUUAAUUGGUUACAAUAACGCCUCAAAUGUACCACUGGGUCACUGUGCCCAGACAUAUUUCUCAAACUUUGACAUUUUAAAGCCAAGAAGGAGAUUAACACCUAGAAACAUACACAGAUAUUUAUAUGAGACACUUUUGUACCCCUCAAGUCCUUGGAAAUUCUUCAUAGCCAGUUCCAAACUUUUCAAUUUUCUGAUCAUUUUCUUUUGUUCUUCUUUCAUAACAGGUUUUUCAGCAUUAAGAGAAAAUUCAGGCGGAUGAGUGUAGCCAUAUGGACCAGUCGACUUAAAUAUGGGCUCGAGAGCACAAUAUUGAUCACUAAAAAUAUUCAAUACAGGGUCUCUUGUAGAGUAAGGAAUCACAAUCGUUCGAUUAACAUUAAAAGCAGGAACUUCAGGCAAUGGUGGCAUCGCAAAAGCAUGAACAGUAGGAACAUGUGGUAACUUUGUGUUAAGGAGUGAGGAAAUGAAUAUUGGAAGUGUUUGGAUAGUGUUGCCCCGAAGUAAUCCCUGAUGCAUGUCGUGGCAUGUCAACAAAAAUGGGAAAUUAUGUAUGUGACACGGGAGGGAAACUAGUAAGAUAUUCUAUAUUAUCAGUGGGAAAUGGAGGAGGUGGAAACCCAUUAGCCCAAGCUCAAUGCAUUUCUAUCAUUUACUGCCUUAAUUUUCAAAUUUCUUCAUUAUCUCCUAAAUUCUCAUUCCCCGAACUCUCUGAUUAGUGACAACAACCUCGGUAUUCUUGUUGGCCAUAACUUUCUCUUAGACUUGGUGCAAUAUGGAGGACCAAUCAAAAUUCCACAAACCAACUACCUUAAACUAACUAGACAAGAGAUAGCAAAUGCAUUAGAGUUCCACAAUUUUUCAAAACACUUUUUCUGCUUUUCUUUUGAAAAGAACACAGAACCCAAAAAGAGCACCUACGUAUCUCACCUCUGAGAGGGGAGAAUCAGGUGUGCGUAGUUCGUGAAGUUUUGGCACAACAUGGCUGAUCAAACUUUUUUGUUGAAACUUUAAGAAGAAAAGAAAAUAACAAAUUGUCAAGAGAAUUGACGAAAAUCUUUUUGAAUUUUUCAUCUUUAACAUUUCUAUACAAAAUGAAACCUAUGAUUACCAAAGAAAAUAUUUUGGGGUUUUCGAUUUUGAAUUUCAUACCAAAAUGAAACUUGAACCUAUUAAAGAAAAAUAUUUUUGUAGUUUUGUUUUUAAAGAUGUAUAUGACACAUACUCUAAAUGAAGAGUGAAGAAUUUUUUUUUGGAUUUUUUAAAUAAGAUCUCCAAACCCACAAUAGGCUGCCUAGGUAUCUCACUCCCGAGAUAGGAGAAUUAGGAGUGUGUAGUUCAUCCAUCUUGGACAAUUAAGGAUUAAAUAACCAACUUAACCCUGACUUGAGAGACACGAUCAAGACAAACGAAAUGUCAAUAAAAUCUUUUUUGAGUUUUCAGUUUGACACAUCACAUAAAAAUGACACGAAAAACUAUGAAAGAAAAAUCUUUUUAGAAUUUUCAUUAUAUGAAAUGUAUAAAACUUCUACCGUCGUUUUUGAAUUUUCCUUUUAUAAAAAGCUCCUAUUGAAAAAAAAAAUCUUUUUGGAGUUUUCGAAUUGUGAAUGCUUACUAAAGAAACAAAAGGAAAAUCUUUUGAUGUUUUUAAUUUUUUUUGGGAAAUGAGUACAAAAGGUAAAAAACAACUUUUUGAAUUUUUAGAUUUUGAAAAGCAAAAGCCAUAAAGAACUCUAAAACUACGAAACUCUUUUUUCUUUACUCACUUUUUUUUUUCAACCUUUCCUUGCCUACACACUUUCCUUUAAUUCUAGCAAAUGCUUUUUUCCCAAACCAGUCUGUCAAAUGACCAUAUUAGCCUCCAAGAUGCUAUAAUUAGCACGUUGAGAUGCUUUAGUGGUGGGUUUCUUACAAAGGACCAAGUGGAUCCCGCUAGGUCUCAAUAUGAUGCAGAUAAGCAUGACCUAAAGACUGACCUACACUAGGGUCCACUAAUAAAGCCAUUCGGGGGAGCAUAUUAUCGAUAGUGGCUUUUUUGCUUUCCAUCUACUCCAUACAUCCGAUGGCUCACCCUCCUAAAAUAAGGGUGGCUCAACUACAGUUCGUGUACACGAUGUGUACUUUGGGACUUGUUGCAGAAAAAUUGAAAACUGCAAACAAAUAGCACGUAGGUACUCAACAAUGAUAAAACAAUCACACAAAUAAUGUUUAUACACCCACAAUGUCAAACUAACACGAUACAACUCCAAAAAAAAAUAAGCUCGAAUUCAGAAAAUUUUCCAGUGAAGUUGCUAGAGCUGUCACACCCUUUUUUCACCAAAAAGAUUACUUUCAAGUUCGAAAGAGGUUUUUAUUAUUAAAGUGACAAAAUAAAAAUUUAUUUUGAAAAAAAGAAUUAUUUUUACAUUCAAAUUCAGAGUCGCCACUUGGCAUAAUCAGGUGUGCCAAGUCGCCUUUGGAAAUCCCUUUUCAAAAUUGUUUUUGACUCUUUUAAACUGAUUUGCGAACAGAGAUUCCUGCUAAGGAAUUUUGUUGACCCAAGGGAAGGUGUUAGGCACCACUCGAUCCCGUGGUUCGAUCAUGAUCUCUUCGUGGAGUAUAUCGGCUGGUACGACACUAUGAAUGUAUAAACCACAUAAAACACACAAAACAAUCAAUCAAACAAACAAAAUAAAACAAGUUCAAAAAUAUAAUGUCCAGUCCAAAUUAUUUAGUCCCAAAAAUAGAAAAAUGUGGAAAUAUAAAUCCUGCUCUAAACUAAUCCUAUACUAAGCUCCAAUGCUUUACCCGAUGCCUCGGACCUUCAUCACAAACCUCCUUUCCGUACAUGAUACAUCGGAGCAUUACCCGGUGAAUAAAUACAAUGUGACCUCGGGGCAUUCCCGAGCGAAUGAAUACAUUUGAUGAAAUAUAAUAAAAGUGGAGGACUCAUUCAACACAGACAUUCACAUAUUCAAUGAUAUAGAAUCCUAUGAGUUGCCUACCCCAAAACCUAAAAUUUGCCUAUCAAGUUUUUGGCCUGAAACAUGAUCCUAUCGAGUUCACAAAAUUAAUAUUUAUUUCGAAUUAAACAAAAAAACAAUAAAUCAAAAUUAAUACAAAUUCACAUUUUCAUCAAGUUUUCGAUUCCCACCCUGAUUUUGUUAUCCAAUUACCAAUUUUAAUUAUUCAAUAAAAUAUCAUUUUCACCCAAUUUUACCAUUCGAGAUCAAUCAUUCAACACAAACACAUGUCAAAUAACAAAUCACCCCCAAAUAGAACAAACACAUCAAAAUGCCUCCAUAAUCAUAUAAAAUUAAAGGAAUAGAGUUGAAGAUUGGAUCUCAAUUUGAUGCUUUUGUUUCAAUUAAACUCGGAGGAGCCUUACGAAUUCAGAACCUCAUAUCAAACCUCAACAGUCAACAAACGAGACCGCAACUCAAAGGAAAACCAAAACCAGCUAGAAACUUCCAAAUGAAACCCAAUUCACUGAUUUUGAAUUAGGCUUAAAUCGCUCAUCAGAAUCAGGGUCGGUUUAUCAUUUCUAUCACGUCGAAGCUGCGGUGAACCAGACAGUCCACAAAAUAGGUCUUUUACCGAAGAAAGAUCGCAAAAAGGGGAUAGCAAUUUUUGGGGUUGUGAACGAUCCAUUUCUGUGGGGGUAUUUUGAUUCUGGUAAAACAAACUCAUCAGAAAAUAGUCGAAUCUACCCAUUUUCUCUCACCCAAACCACUCACUGUUCUCUCUCCUAGUCCAUAUCUUUCUUCAGCUCCUCUGUGUGUGCAUAUGUGUGAUAGCAGUGUGUGUAUGAUUUUGUUCAUGGAUGAAGCAGUGAGGAUGAGUGAUUCCAGUGGGAGAUGAAUUUGUGAGUAUGUGCAUUUGUGUAUAUGAAUUGAGUGUGUUCUGAGAAUUCUCGAUGGAGGAGGCUUUAUGAGUGUAUGUGUGUGAUGAAUUAUGAAGGGAAUCUGUGUUGUUGUUAUCUGGGUGAGUCUCGAUGGUGGUGAUAGAGUGUCCUUUUUAAUGGUGUGUGUAUGCGUAUAUAAUGUGUGUGAAUUCUAUUCCAUAGGAAAGAAAAAGUGCCUUUGAUUGAGGGGUGAG